CCGGGGCGCGCCCCGGGCGGGGCGGGGGCACGGGGGGAACGCGAAGAACCUUACCAGCUCUUGACAUUCGGGGUAUGGGCAUUGGAGACGAUGUCCUUUGGUUAGGCUGGCCCCAGAACAGGUGCUGCAUGGCUGUCGUCAGCUCGUGUCGUGAGAUGUUGGGUUAAGUCCCGCAACGAGCGCAACCCUCGCCCUUAGUUGCCAGCAUUUAGUUGGGCACUCUAAGGGGACUGCCGGUGAGGAGCCGAGAGGAAGGUGGGGAUGACGUCAAGUCCUCAUGGCCCUUACGGGCUGGGCUACACACGUGCUACAAUGUUUGGUGACAGUGGGCAGCGAGACAGCGAUGUCGAGCUAAUCUCAAUACCCCUCAGUUCGGAUUGCACUCUGCAAUCUCCACUGACAUGAAGUGGAAUUGCUAGAAUCC
The sequence is a ribosomal RNA, 424 nucleotides long. It matches the Rfam family "Bacterial small subunit ribosomal RNA", at positions 929 to 1343 of the family's 1533-position model.